Molecule: long non-coding RNA, 504 nt
Filed under: Coffea arabica (coffee)
Lineage: Eukaryota; Viridiplantae; Streptophyta; Magnoliopsida; Gentianales; Rubiaceae
Description: long non-coding RNA (CARA_LNC004426)
Source: RNAcentral
UGCAGCGGUUCAGAGAAUGUGAGUUGAUCCACGGAAGGUGGGCUAUGUUGGCUACUCUUGGCGCCUUGGCUGUCGAGUGGCUCACCGGAGUUACCUGGCAGGAUGCCGGAAAGGUACCUUUACCUGCAUAUGUAUACAAUACAAAUGCAUUAGUCGUGUCGUAUUUCUUAGUUGUCUGCGCCUGGCUAGAACCUAUACUGCGAGUAGGAAAUAAGCCGUUGACACAUAAUUUUUCAGUGCGGAUUCCAAUCGAUGUUGGCUUUAGUAACGUACGAAACGUAUGCAGUGAAGUGAAGUAAUUUUCAGCGCAUCUAUUCUAUUGAGCUAAAAAGAUUCUACAUUAAUUUGAACAGGUUGAGCUUGUGGAAGGAUCAUCAUACCUGGGUCAACCACUUCCAUUCUCCAUGAGCACAUUGAUCUGGAUUGAGGUGCUGCUCAUUGGAUACAUUGAGUUCCAAAGGAAUGCCGAGCUUGACCCCGAAAAGAGGCUGUACCCUGGCGGAA